CCGUAUAGGGGAGCCGGAGGGAAACCGAGUCUUAACCGGGCGUUAAGUUGCAGGGUAUAGACCCGAAACCCGGUGAUCUAGCCAUGGGCAGGUUGAAGGUUGGGUAACACUAACUGGAGGACCGAACCGACUAAUGUUGAAAAAUUAGCGGAUGACCUGUGGCUGGGGGUGAAAGGCCAAUCAAACCGGGAGAUAGCUGGUUCUCCCCGAAAGCUAUUUAGGUAGCGCCUCGUGAAUUCAUCUCCGGGGGUAGAGCACUGUUUCGGCUAGGGGGCCAUCCCGGCUUACCAACCCGAUGCAAACUGCGAAUACCGGAGAAUGUUAUCACGGGAGACACACGGCGGGUGCUAACGUCCGUCGUGAAGAGGGAAACAACCCAGACCGCCAGCUAAGGUCCCAAAGUCAUGGUUAAGUGGGAAACGAUGUGGGAAGGCCCAGACAGCCAGGAUGUUGGCUUAGAAGCAGCCAUCAUUUAAAGAAAGCGUAAUAGCUCACUGGUCGAGUCGGCCUGCGCGGAAGAUGUAACGGGGCUAAACCAUGCACCGAAGCUGCGGCAGCGACGCUGAUGCGUUGUUGGGUAGGGGAGCGUUCUGUAAGCCUGCGAAGGUGGCCUGUGAGGGUUGCUGGAGGUAUCAGAAGUGCGAAUGCUGACAUAAGUAACGAUAAAGCGGGUGAAAAGCCCGCUCGCCGGAAGACCAAGGGUUCCUGUCCAACGUUAAUCGGGGCAGGGUGAGUCGACCCCUAAGGCGAGGCCGAAAGGCGUAGUCGAUGGGAAACGGGUUAAUAUUCCCGUACUUGGUGUUACUGCGAAGGGGGGACGGAGAAGGCUAUGUUGGCCGGGCGACGGUU
Molecule: ribosomal RNA, 849 nt
Filed under: Salmonella enterica
Lineage: Bacteria; Pseudomonadati; Pseudomonadota; Gammaproteobacteria; Enterobacterales; Enterobacteriaceae
Also listed under: 1 other name
Description: partial 23S ribosomal RNA
Rfam family: Bacterial large subunit ribosomal RNA
Source: RNAcentral